AAUACCUACACACCUGCGCAUUCCUUUUCUCUCCUCCUCCUCCUCCUCUGUUGCUUACUCGGUAUUCCUCGAAUGGAGGUUUCUUGCUCCAUCCCGAUCUCAUGAACCGCUUCUUCCCACCGAGCGCUUGAUCAUGCCAAGCAAGAUGUGAUCUCACGGAUGUGAUUUUCCUUUUUCUGGGCGUUCCUCUGACCGAUUUCGAGGGUUCAAUUUCCAGUUCGUCGGACCAGUUUUCAAUCGAGGGCAUGAAAGGCCAUUUGGAUCGGACCAAGGUGGUUCUACGGCACUUGCCGCCGUCGAUUACGCAGGGUAUGCUCAUGGACCAGAUCGAUACCGCGUUCGGGGGCCGCUACAACUGGUUCUCUUUCCGCCCCGGCAAGAGCAGCCUGAAGAACCAGGUCUAUUCAAGAGCCUACAUCAAUUUUAAGAGACCUGAGGAUGUUAUUGAAUUUGCCGAGUUUUUUGAGGGGCAUGUGUUUGUGAAUGAGAAAGGUACUCAGUUCAGGACUAUAGUCGAAUAUGCUCCUUCACAACGUAUGCCAAAACUGACAUCUAAAAAAGAUGGCCGUGAAGGGACCAUUAUGAAAGAUCCUGAGUACUUGGAAUUUCUUGAAUUUAUUGCAAAGCCAGUUGAGAAUCUUCCAAGUGCAGAGAUACAAUUGGAGAGACGUGAGGCGGAGCGAUCUGGUAUUGGAAAAGAAGCACCUGUAGUGACUCCUUUGAUGGAUUAUGUUCGCCAGAAGAGGGCUUCAAAGGGUGGAUCUCGGAGGUCAAUCGCUAAUGAGAAAAUGAGUGGAAGAGGUGGAAGAUCGUCCACUGGAAGCUCUAGCUCUGCACCAUCGAAACGAAAUUCUGAAAAGAGAAAAAGUUCUACUGCAAUGUAUAUUUUAAGAGAUGCUUCGAGGGGCAGUAGUGGCAAAGACAAGUCCACUUACAUUCUGUCUUCCAAGCGAGAUGAUCCUCAACUUUCUGACAAAGCUAAUCCUUCAGUAGUGGCAAGUGGAGCUGGACAAGCGGAAGAUGACAAUGGGACUAUUGGAAUUGGAAUUGCUGGUGCUGGGAAAAAGAAGAUUUUGCUUUUGAAGGGGAAGGAGAGAGAAAUUUCUCAUGUCCCUGGUGGUGUAUCGCAGGAGCAGUGUCAACUAAAAGAUGUGAUAGGUUUGGCCACUGACAAGCAGAAACAGCGGCAUGACGGUAGUCGGAUAAUUAGAACCAUACUUUUGAACAAAGAUGCACGCCAAAAUCAAUCAGGAGUGCCAUCUGAAACUCAAACACAGACUUUGCAUCCAGGAAAAGAAAGGAGGCCUCCUCGAGCCCCGAGCGUACAAGCAGUUUCAAAAGAUACAAAUGGUUCUCCUGAUGAGAAGGUCCAUGGGAAUGGCCUGUCUGGUUUUGGUAGUGAAAAGAUGGAAAGACGUGCAAGAAAUAAAGAUAGGCCCGAUCGUGGUGUAUGGGCUCCUCUCCGUCGUUUAGAUGGAUCCCAUGCAAGUGAUUCAUCGUUCUCUGCUGCUGCUGCACAUUCAACCUUAGAUUCCCCAGAGGGUUUCCGCAAAACUGUUGGUCGCCGGGGACCGUCUCAGGGUGGGAAAGAUAAUGAUGGCUUACCGCUUACAAGUGAACUGAAGUCUUCAAAAAGAGGAAGUGCUUCUGGCUAUAGUUCCCAUGAGAAGCAAGUGUGGGUUCAAAAGUCAAGUUCCGGAUCUUAGUGUCUGAAAAGUGUUUAUUAGGGCUUGAAUUCUCUUAGAAGAUGCAUGUAAAGAGUGAUUCUGUUUGUGUGAUAUGUUGCAAGCAAAGGCGAUCCAGUGGAGUGAAAUGCUUGGUGUAUUGUGAAAUUGAUCACGCAUAUCCGCUAGUGGCUGGAGGCUCGUCUCUUUUGCUGGACAGGUGGUCAGAGUGGAAAAGGCUUUGGCAGCAAAAAUGGUUUCUCGCGAAGAAACUGUUGGUUGGUACGGCUCGAAGGGGGGAGGAUGGAGAUGUUGUUGUAAUUAACAGUUGGGUGGGUGAGUUGAAUAACCUGGAUUAUUACUACGCAAGGCUGAUUUGGAUUAGUUGGAAAGAGAAGGAGAAAGAUAUCGUCACCUAGGAACGUACAUAAGUUACAACAGAUCCUAUCCCAGUAUCUUUCGGAGGGAUUCUUACCAUUGCUGAAGGAGCUACAGAUAACAUUCUUGCCAUCGACUCUAAUGAGGGGAGCGUGAUAUUUUAGCUCAUAGGAUAAGGUUCUUGGUUGGACUGUAAAUACGAAUGCGGAGCAAAUGGUGUUACUGCCUCUGCUCUUGUCAGUUGUACAUCUUUGUUGGGCAGAAUGUCAUACUCUAGUUAUGGUGUGUAGUUGCUCUAGCCCAUUUUGUUUAAUGGCUUUCUUAAUUGGGGUUCUUGUCGAAUAGAGAAAGAUAUAUGUCGGGGGAUGCUCUUUCGAAUUGUAUCCUCGAAAUGUUGUCUAUGUGGAGAAUGUUGAUAUGGAGUUGGAUAUCGGAUGGCACUUUGUUUUGGAGUUU
This is an RNA transcript of Rhodamnia argentea, 2498 nucleotides long. It is a transcript of the gene named regulator of nonsense transcripts UPF3, with no coding region annotated. NCBI's taxonomy places the organism in Eukaryota, Viridiplantae, Streptophyta, Magnoliopsida, Myrtales, Myrtaceae. The record is from RefSeq and is a predicted model, not a curated record. The transcript has 13 exons.